AACGAACGCUGGCGGCGCGCCUAAUACAUGCAAGUCGAGCGAGAAGACGUAGCAAUACGUUUGUAAAGCGGCGAACGGGUGAGGAAUACAUGGGUAACCUACCCUCGAGUGGGGAAUAACUAGCCGAAAGGUUAGCUAAUACCGCGUACGCUCCUUGGACUUCGGUUCAGGGAGGAAAGCGAUACCGUGGGUACCGCGCUCUUGGAUGGGCUCAUGUCCUAUCAGCUUGUUGGUGAGGAACGGCUCACCAAGGCUUCGACGGGUAGCUGGUCUGAGAGGACGAUCAGCCACACUGGCACUGCGACACGGGCCAGACUCCUACGGGAGGCAGCAGUAAGGAUAUUGCGCAAUGGGCGAAAGCCUGACGCAGCGACGCCGCGUGGGGGAG
This 388-nucleotide ribosomal RNA is filed under the name uncultured bacterium. Its description in RNAcentral is "bacterial SSU rRNA". It matches the Rfam family "Bacterial small subunit ribosomal RNA", at positions 29 to 409 of the family's 1533-position model. The record is from RNAcentral.